AAAACUGUGGUUUAUUAGUAGGCACUUAAUAUUCCUUUUCUGUUGUACUAUCAUAAAUUUUGCAUGCAAUUACGGGCAGAACUUGGUGGCAGUUAGAGGAAACUGGUUCAUGCCCUGAAUAAAAUAUUAUUUUUAACGUGGAAGAAUGAAGCAAGCAGCUACUGUUUUUUCCAUGCAGAUGUUUAAUUUGAAUAAUCUUUCAUAUUUUAUUGCUUAUCUUUGGGUUUUUCUAAUUUCACUUAUCAUUUAUUCUAAUUGAUAUUAUGGUUGUUACGGGGGACAACAGCCACAACAUUGACGAGCUG
RNAcentral lists this unclassified non-coding RNA (305 nucleotides) under Hevea brasiliensis (rubber tree). Lineage: Eukaryota; Viridiplantae; Streptophyta; Magnoliopsida; Malpighiales; Euphorbiaceae. The record is from RNAcentral.